This 482-nucleotide ribosomal RNA is filed under the name uncultured bacterium. RNAcentral's name for it is "partial 16S ribosomal RNA". It matches the Rfam family "Bacterial small subunit ribosomal RNA", at positions 28 to 523 of the family's 1533-position model. The record is from RNAcentral.
GACGAACGCUGGCGGCGUGCUUAACACAUGCAAGUCGAACGGAAAGGCCCAGCUUGCUGGGUACUCGAGUGGCGAACGGGUGAGUAACACGUGGGUGAUCUGCCCUGCACUCUGGGAUAAGCCUGGGAAACUGGGUCUAAUACCGGAUAUGAUCAACUGUCGCAUGGUGGUUGGUGGAAAGCUUUUGCGGUGUGGGAUGGGCCCGCGGCCUAUCAGCUUGUUGGUGGGGUAAUGGCCUACCAAGGCGACGACGGGUAGCCGACCUGAGAGGGUGAUCGGCCACACUGGGGCUGAGACACGGCCCAGACUCCUACGGGAGGCAGCAGUGGGGAAUAUUGCACAAUGGGCGCAAGCCUGAUGCAGCGACGCCGCGUGAGGGAUGACGGCCUUCGGGUUGUAAACCUCUUUCACCAGGGACGAAGCGUGAGUGACGGUACCUGGAGAAGAAGCACCGGCCAACUACGUGCCAGCAGCCGCCGCAG